UCGAGAAUCUUCGGCAAUGGGCGCAAGCCUGACCGAGCGACGCCGCGUGCGGGAUGAAGGCCUUCGGGUUGUAAACCGCUGUCGGAGGGGAGGAAAUGCUAGUGGGUUAUCCCUCUAGUUUGACCGAUCCUCGGAGGAAGUACGGGCUAAGUUCGUGCCAGCAGCCGCGGUAAGACGAACCGUACGAACGUUAUUCGGAAUCACUGGGCUUAAAGGGUGCGUAGGCGGCGCGGUAAGUUAGGUGUGAAAUCCCUCGGCUCAACCGAGGAAUUGCGCUUAAAACUACCGUGCUAGAGGGAGAUAGAGGUGAGCGGAACUUAGGGUGGAGCGGUGAAAUGCGUUGAUAUCCUAAGGAACACCAGUUGCGAAAGCGGCUCACUGGGUCUUUUCUGACGCUGAGGCACGAAAGCUAGGGUAGCGAACGGGAUUAGAUACCCCCGUAGUCC
RNAcentral lists this ribosomal RNA (446 nucleotides) under uncultured prokaryote. Its description in RNAcentral is "bacterial SSU rRNA". It matches the Rfam family "Bacterial small subunit ribosomal RNA", at positions 355 to 796 of the family's 1533-position model. The record is from RNAcentral.